UAGCAUAUCAUAAGCGGAGGAAAAGAAACCAACAGGGAUUACCUCAGUAACGGCGAGUGAAGCGGUAACAGCUCAAAUUUGAAAGCUCGCUCUUUUAGGGUGCGCAUUGUAAUUUGUAGAAGAUGCUUCGGGUGUGGCCCCGGUCUAAGUUCCUUGGAACAGGACGUCAUAGAGGGUGAGAAUCCCGUAUGUGACUGGGUGCUUUCGCUCAAGUGAAGCUCUUUCGACGAGUCGAGUUGUUUGGGAAUGCAGCUCAAAAUGGGUGGUAAAUUUCAUCUAAAGCUAAAUAUUGGCCAGAGACCGAUAGCGCACAAGUAGAGUGAUCGAAAGAUGAAAAGCACUUUGGAAAGAGAGUUAAACAGUACGUGAAAUUGUUGAAAGGGAAGCGCUUGCAACCAGACUUGCGCGCUGGUGAUCAUCCGGGCUUCUGUCCGGUGCACUCGCCAGCGCUCAGGCCAGCAUCGGUUUCGGUGGUGGGAUAAAGGCCUUGGGAAUGUAGCUUCUUUCGGGGAGUGUUAUAGCCCUCGGUGCAAUGCCGCCUACUGGGACCGAGGACCGCGCUUCGGCUAGGAUGCUGGCGUAAUGGUUGUAAGCGACCCGUCUUGAAACACGGACCAAGGAGUCUAACAUCUAUGCGAGUGUUUGGGUGUCAAACCCAUACGCGUAAUGAAAGUGAACGGAGGUGAGAACCCUUAAGGGUGCAUCAUCGACCGAUCCUGAUGUCUUCGGAUGGAUUUGAGUAAGAGCAUAGCUGUUGGGACCCGAAAGAUGGUGAACUAUGCGUGAAUAGGGUGAAGCCAGAGGAAACUCUGGUGGAGGCUCGCAGCGGUUCUGACGUGCAAAUCGAUCGUCAAAUUUGCGUAUAGGGGCGAAAGACUAAUCGAACCAUCUAGUAGCUGGUUCCUGCCGAA
RNAcentral lists this ribosomal RNA (911 nucleotides) under Phialophora foetens. RNAcentral describes it as "LSU rRNA". It matches the Rfam family "Eukaryotic large subunit ribosomal RNA", at positions 36 to 965 of the family's 3401-position model. The record is from RNAcentral. Lineage: Eukaryota; Fungi; Ascomycota; Eurotiomycetes; Chaetothyriales; Herpotrichiellaceae.